RNAcentral lists this ribosomal RNA (383 nucleotides) under uncultured bacterium. RNAcentral's name for it is "bacterial SSU rRNA". It matches the Rfam family "Bacterial small subunit ribosomal RNA", at positions 30 to 420 of the family's 1533-position model. The record is from RNAcentral.
AUUGAACGCUGGCGGCAUGCUUUACACAUGCAAGUCGAACGGUAACAGGUUAAGCUGACGAGUGGCGAACGGGUGAGUAAUGCAUCGGAACGUGCCCAGUCGUGGGGGAUAACGCAGCGAAAGCUGUGCUAAUACCGCAUACGAUCUAUGGAUGAAAGCGGGGGACCUAAGGCCUCGCGCGAUUGGAGCGGCCGAAUGUCAGAUUAGCUAGUUGGUGGGGUAAAGGCCCACCAAGGCGACGAUCUGUAGCUGGUCUGAGAGGACGACCAGCCACACUGGAACUGAGACACGGUCCAGACUCCUACGGGAGGCAGCAGUGGGGAAUUUUGGACAAUGGGCGCAAGCCUGAUCCAGCAAUGCCGCGUGCAGGAAGAAGGCUGUGU